GACGAACGCUGGCGGCGUGCUUAACACAUGCAAGUCGAACGGAAAGGCCCUGCUUUUGUGGGGUGCUCGAGUGGCGAACGGGUGAGUAACACGUGAGUAACCUGCCCUGGACUUUGGGAUAACUUCAGGAAACUGGGGCUAAUACCGGAUAGGAGCUCCUGCUGCAUGGUGGGGGGUGGAAAGUUUCGGCGGUUGGGGAUGGACUCGGGGCUUAUCAGCUUGUUGGUGGGGUAGUGGCUUACCAAGGCUUUGACGGGUAGCCGGCCUGAGAGGGUGACCGGCCACAUUGGGACUGAGAUACGGCCCAGACUCCUACGGGAGGCAGCAGUGGGGAAUAUUGCACAAUGGGCGGAAGCCUGAUGCAGCAACGCCGCGUGCGGGAUGACGGCCUUCGGGUUGUAAACCGCUUUCGCCUGUGACGAAGCGUGAGUGACGGUAAUGGGUAAAGAAGCACCGGCUAACUACGUG
This 468-nucleotide ribosomal RNA is filed under the name uncultured bacterium. RNAcentral describes it as "partial 16S ribosomal RNA". It matches the Rfam family "Bacterial small subunit ribosomal RNA", at positions 28 to 507 of the family's 1533-position model. The record is from RNAcentral.